AGAGUUUGAUCAUGGCUCAGAGUGAACGCUGGCGGCGUGCUUAACACAUGCAAGUCGAACGAGAACGGGUUAUAGCUUGCUAUAACUGUCAGCUAAGUGGCGCACGGGUGAGUAAUAUAUAGUUAAUCUGCCCUAGAGAGAGGAAUAACAAUUAGAAAUGAUUGCUAAUGCCUUAUAUGCCUUUAAGACAUAAGUCUGCAAGGGAAACAUUUAUGGCUCUAGGAUGAGACUGUACAGUAUCAGUUAGUUGGUGAGGUAAUGGCUCACCAAGACAAUGACGCUUAACUGGUUUGAGAGGAUGAUCAGUCACACUGGAACUGAGACACGGUCCAGACUCCUACGGGAGGCAGCAGUGGGGAAUAUUGCACAAUGGACGAAAGUCUGAUGCAGCAACGCCGCGUGGAGGAUGACACUUUUCGGAGCGUAAACUCCUUUUAUAUGGGAAGAUAAUGACGGUACCAUAUGAAUAAGCACCGGCUAACUCCGUGCCAGCAGCCGCGGUAAUACGGAGGGUGCAAGCGUUACUCGGAAUCACUGGGCGUAAAGAGAAUGUAGGCGGAUAAAUAAGUCAGAUGUGAAAGCCAAUAGCUCAACUAUUGAACUGCAUUUGAAACUGUUAAUCUAGAAUAUGGGAGAGGUAGAUGGAAUUUCUGGUGUAGGGGUAAAAUCCGUAGAGAUCAGAAAGAAUACCGAUUGCGAA
Molecule: ribosomal RNA, 700 nt
Filed under: uncultured bacterium
Lineage: Bacteria
Description: bacterial SSU rRNA
Rfam family: Bacterial small subunit ribosomal RNA
Source: RNAcentral